GCCCGUCGCUCCUACCGAUUGGAUGACUCGGUGAAAUCGCCAGACAUCUUCGGAUUAAGGCAAUUAAAUCACGUUAUCUAGAGGAAGGAGAAGUCGUAACAAGGUAACGGUAGGUGAACCUGCCGUUGGAUCAGU
Molecule: ribosomal RNA, 135 nt
Filed under: Trichomitopsis parvus
Lineage: Eukaryota; Parabasalia; Trichomonadida; Trichomonadidae
Description: partial 18S small subunit ribosomal RNA
Rfam family: Eukaryotic small subunit ribosomal RNA
Source: RNAcentral